UUUAGUCAUGGCGUAAUAGAUUCUCUUAUAUAUAUAAUGAAUAAUGUUGUUAACAGAAGCCCCUGAACUUAGAAUUACUGCCACUUCUUUAUAUUCUUAGUUCUAAUAAGGCAAGAGUGAGUUUUGGUAUAUCUAAUGGGAUAUAGAAAGGUAUUUACCCCCAUUUUAUCUAGCAACUUCAAAACCUGGUAAGUCUCUCGCAAAACCUGAAUUUAGAUGGAUGGACUUCAAAUUAAUCCUAAUAAAUUUUUUAAAAAAUGGAAAGAAAAAUUGAGUAACUGCGGCAAAAUUAUGCAAAGAAAUUAAACUGGCUGAGAAGAUGGAGCAACUUAAAUGUGCUUGAUGUAGCAAAUUAAAUGAUUGGACUAAGAUACUUGAUUCCCCAAAAGUCAGUGUCUUCAAAGUGUUGAAACUUGAAAGGAAAACACAACCCUUCACUCAAAACAAAGACCUGGAAUGACUAAGAUAGAAUUUCAUACACAUGAAAGAAAUUACGAGGGCUAAUUUGCUUUUCUAAUAAUCUCUUUCUUAAUGAUGGCAUUUUGACUUGUGUGGGAAUGAAGUGGGAACAAUGAUGAUGAUGGGGACAAUAAUGGGAAGAGGACAUGAUUAUUGAUGUUGGCUUAAUUCUGCGGGCAUUGAGAGUUAAAAGAAGAGAGAGAGAGAUGAUGAAAAAAUAGAAAAUUCAUUCUAUAGUUUCUGUGCUCCUCUCUCUCUCUCUCUCACACACAUCAUGCCCGAGGACGAAAACAGAGUAAAGAUGCAAAAUUGUGCACAGAAGGAAUAUUAUAUCAGAUAAUAUAAAAUUGAAUGAGAGAUCUGGAACUAAAUUGCUUAGCAUAACAUGAAACCUUCGACUCUUCAAAGUUGGAAGCCAAGGAUUAACUUACCUUGCACAAGUGAUGAUGAACAAACCAGGACAGAGACAGCAACAACAGAGACGCAGCAGUUGGAAGGCAGAAAAUUGGCUCAAGGAUGGCUACAAUCUACCGGCGCGCUCGAACGGAAGUUUACGCAGGGGUGGGUGUGGCUUUCGUUUGCAAUUCAUUGAUUAGGGAUUGAAUUUUGCCUUUAUAUUAUAUUAUUCUUGUAAUAGGCAAACCCCCUUUCUUUAAUUUUAAACUGGUAAAAUUUUACUUUUAAAAUAAUAUUUAACCGACUUGUAAUCGGUUAUAUGUAAUUUAAUCAAUUUCUUUUAUUGAAUUAUAAUUGUUUAGAAUCGUUG
Molecule: long non-coding RNA, 1225 nt
Filed under: Citrus sinensis (sweet orange)
Lineage: Eukaryota; Viridiplantae; Streptophyta; Magnoliopsida; Sapindales; Rutaceae
Description: long non-coding RNA (CSIN_LNC000736)
Source: RNAcentral